Gossypium raimondii (Peruvian cotton) is the source of this 141-nucleotide non-coding RNA. The record is from Rfam. NCBI's taxonomy places the organism in Eukaryota, Viridiplantae, Streptophyta, Magnoliopsida, Malvales, Malvaceae.
UGUUAAAAAAAGCAUUCAUUUCUAUUGUUAGCAAUCGGCGUAGCUGUCUAACCAAAUAGUCACACGUGAUGUGUUACGUGUAUCUCAUGUUGACAUAUACGGACCAAUUUUUAACCGUAAAAAUGGAUGAAAUUUUUAACA